Molecule: ribosomal RNA, 682 nt
Filed under: Limosilactobacillus fermentum
Lineage: Bacteria; Bacillati; Bacillota; Bacilli; Lactobacillales; Lactobacillaceae
Description: bacterial SSU rRNA
Rfam family: Bacterial small subunit ribosomal RNA
Source: RNAcentral
GAGUGCAGAAGAGGGUAGUGGAACUCCAUGUGUAGCGGUGGAAUGCGUAGAUAUAUGGAAGAACACCAGUGGCGAAGGCGGCUACCUGGUCUGCAACUGACGCUGAGACUCGAAAGCAUGGGUAGCGAACAGGAUUAGAUACCCUGGUAGUCCAUGCCGUAAACGAUGAGUGCUAGGUGUUGGAGGGUUUCCGCCCUUCAGUGCCGGAGCUAACGCAUUAAGCACUCCGCCUGGGGAGUACGACCGCAAGGUUGAAACUCAAAGGAAUUGACGGGGGCCCGCACAAGCGGUGGAGCAUGUGGUUUAAUUCGAAGCUACGCGAAGAACCUUACCAGGUCUUGACAUCUUGCGCCAACCCUAGAGAUAGGGCGUUUCCUUCGGGAACGCAAUGACAGGUGGUGCAUGGUCGUCGUCAGCUCGUGUCGUGAGAUGUUGGGUUAAGUCCCGCAACGAGCGCAACCCUUGUUACUAGUUGCCAGCAUUAAGUUGGGCACUCUAGUGAGACUGCCGGUGACAAACCGGAGGAAGGUGGGGACGACGUCAGAUCAUCAUGCCCCUUAUGACCUGGGCUACACACGUGCUACAAUGGACGGUACAACGAGUCGCGAACUCGCGAGGGCAAGCAAAUCUCUUAAAACCGUUCUCAGUUCGGACUGCAGGCUGCAACUCGCCUGCACGAAGU